UUCCAGACUCCUACGGGAGGCAGCAGUGAGGAAUAUUGGUCAAUGGACGAGAGUCUGAACCAGCCAAGUAGCGCGAAGGAUGACUGCCCUAUGGGUUGUAAACCUCUUUUGUCGGGGAGCAAAGAGAGUCACGUGUGGCUCAUUGAGAGUACCCGAAGAAAAAGCAUCGGCUAACUCCGUGCCAGCAGCCGCGGUAAUACGGAGGAUGCGAGCGUUAUCCGGAUUUAUUGGGUUUAAAGGGUGCGCAGGCGGAGGUGCAAGUCAGUGGUCAAAUUGCGGGGCUCAACCCCGUACUGCCGUUGAAACUGCAUCCCUUGAGUGCGCGAGAAGUAUGCGGAAUGCGUGGUGUAGCGGUGAAAUGCAUAGAUAUCACGCAGAACUCCGAUUGCGAAGGCAGCAUACCGGCGCGCAACUGACGCUCAUGCGCGAAAGCGUGGGUAUCGAACAGGAUUAGAUACCCGGGUA
Molecule: ribosomal RNA, 465 nt
Filed under: uncultured bacterium
Lineage: Bacteria
Description: bacterial SSU rRNA
Rfam family: Bacterial small subunit ribosomal RNA
Source: RNAcentral